This 492-nucleotide ribosomal RNA is filed under the name uncultured bacterium. Its description in RNAcentral is "partial 16S ribosomal RNA". It matches the Rfam family "Bacterial small subunit ribosomal RNA", at positions 29 to 507 of the family's 1533-position model. The record is from RNAcentral.
AGUGAACGCUGGCGGUAGGCCUAACACAUGCAAGUCGAACGGCAGCACAGUAAGAGCUUGCUCUUACGGGUGGCGAGUGGCGGACGGGUGAGGAAUACAUCGGAAUCUACUUUUUCGUGGGGGAUAACGUAGGGAAACUUACGCUAAUACCGCAUACGACCUACGGGUGAAAGCAGGGGAUCUUCGGACCUUGCGCGAUUGAAUGAGCCGAUGUCGGAUUAGCUAGUUGGCGGGGUAAAGGCCCACCAAGGCGACGAUCCGUAGCUGGUCUGAGAGGAUGAUAAGCCACACUGGAACUGAGACACGGUCAAGACUCCUAAGGGAGGCAGCAGUGGGGAAUAUUGGACAAUGGGCGCAAGCCUGAUCCAGCCAUACCGCGUGGGUGAAGAAGGCCUUCGGGUUGUAAAGCCCUUUUGUUGGGAAAGAAAAGCAGCAGGUUAAUACCCCGCUGCUCUGACGGUACCCAAAGAAUAAGCACCGGCUAACUUCGUG